RNAcentral lists this ribosomal RNA (429 nucleotides) under Fusobacteriota bacterium. RNAcentral's name for it is "Fusobacteria bacterium partial 16S ribosomal RNA". It matches the Rfam family "Bacterial small subunit ribosomal RNA", at positions 355 to 776 of the family's 1533-position model. Lineage: Bacteria; Fusobacteriati; Fusobacteriota. The record is from RNAcentral.
UGGGGAAUAUUGCGCAAUGGGCGAAAGCCUGACGCAGCGACGCCGCGUGAGGGAUGAAGGGUUUCGGAUCGUAAACCUCUGUCAGAAGGGAAGAAACCGCACUGUGCUAAUCAGCAGUGCCUUGACGGUACCUUCAAAGGAAGCACCGGCUAACUCCGUGCCAGCAGCCGCGGUAAUACGGAGGGUGCAAGCGUUAAUCGGAAUUACUGGGCGUAAAGCGCACGUAGGCUGCUUUGUAAGUCAGGGGUGAAAUCCCACGGCUCAACCGUGGAACUGCCUUUGAUACUGCUUAGCUUGAAUCCGGGAGAGGGUGGCGGAAUUCCAGGUGUAGGAGUGAAAUCCGUAGAUAUCUGGAGGAACAUCAGUGGCGAAGGCGGCCACCUGGACCGGUAUUGACGCUGAGGUGCGAAAGCGUGGGGAGCAAACAGG